This 284-nucleotide unclassified non-coding RNA is filed under the name plant metagenome. RNAcentral's name for it is "partial contains small subunit ribosomal RNA, internal transcribed spacer 1, and 5.8S ribosomal RNA". The stretch from base 236 to 284 matches the Rfam family "5.8S ribosomal RNA", at positions 1 to 49 of the family's 154-position model. The record is from RNAcentral.
GUAGGUGAACCUGCGGAAGGAUCAUUAAUGAGUUGUCAUGGGGUUCGAUGCUGGCAGCCAAUUUUUGGAUGCAUGUGCUUGCCCUAACAAUCAUCUUCCAAACACCUGUGCACACUUUUGAGGGAGUCUUGAGUUGGUUGCCGCUCUUGGGUGAUUUUCUCACAUUCCCUUAAAUCAUUAUACGCUAUUAACAAUGUUGAACGUGCUCUGUGCCGCAAGGCUAUUAAUAUAAUACAACUUUUAACAACGGAUCUCUUGGCUCUCGCAUCGAUGAAGAACGCGGC